Molecule: ribosomal RNA, 1224 nt
Filed under: metagenome
Description: bacterial LSU rRNA
Rfam family: Bacterial large subunit ribosomal RNA
Source: RNAcentral
CCCUGAGCCAGGAUCAAACUAUAUACUAAGGCGCUCGAGUGAAUCAUGGCUAAGGAACUCGGCAAAUUAACCCUGUAACUUCGGGAAAAAGGGUGCCCAUAGCAAUAUGGGCCGCAGUGAAAUAGCGGUGGCGACUGUUUAUCAAAAACACAUGGCUUUGCAAAAUCGAAAGAUGAAGUAUAAGGCCUGACACCUGCCCAAUGCUGGAAGGUUAAGAGGAGAGGUUAGUAGUAAUACAAAGCUUUGAAUCGAAGCCCCAGUGAAUGGCGGCCGUAACAAUAACGGUCCUAAGGUAGCGAAAUUCCUUGUCGGGUAAGUUCCGACCUGCACGAAUGGUGUAACGAUCUCCGCUCUUCUCAGCCAUGAGCUCGGUGAAAUUGUAGUAUCGGUGAAGAUGCCGAUUACCCGCAUCGGGACGGAAAGACCCCGUGCACCUUUACUAUAGCUUAACAUUGACUUUGGAUAACUAAUGUGUAGGAUAGGUGGGAGACUUUGAAGCAGUGGCGCCAGCCAUUGUGGAGUCGUCCUUGAAAUACCACCCUUUGGUUAUUUGGAUUCUAAUCCCUCAAAAGGGGAGACAUUGUUUGGUGGGUAGUUUGACUGGGGUGGUCGCCUCCAAAAUUGUAUCGGAGGCUUUCAAAGGUACCCUCAGCACGCUUGGUAACCGUGCGUAGAGUGCAAUAGCAUAAGGGUGCUUGACUGUGAGACCUACAAGUCGAGCAGGGUCGAAAGACGGAUAUAGUGAUCCGGUGGUUCCGUGUGGAAGGGCCAUCGCUCAAAGGAUAAAAGGUACGCCCGGGAUAACAGGCUGAUCACCCCCAAGAGCUCAUAUCGACGGGGUGGUUUGGCACCUCGAUGUCGGCUCGUCACAUCCUGGGGCUGGAGAAGGUCCCAAGGGUUGAGCUGUUCGCUCAUUAAAGUGGCACGCGAGCUGGGUUCAGAACGUCGUGAGACAGUUCGGUCCCUAUCUGUUGUGGGCGUUAGAAAUUUGAGAGGACCUGACUCUAGUACGAGAGGACCAAGUUGGACAGACCUCUAGUGUACCUGUUGUGGCGCCAGCUGCAUUGCAGGGUAGCUACGUCUGGUCGAGAUAAGCGCUGAAAGCAUCUAAGCGCGAAACUCGCCUCAAGAUAAGAUUUCUUUUAAGGGUCGUAAUAGACUAUUACGUUGAUAGGUUGCAAGUGUAAAGGCAGUAAUGUCAAAGCUGAGCAAUACUAAUUACCC